CCUACGGGUGGCAGCAGUAGGGAAUCUUCCACAAUGGGCGCAAGCCUGAUGGAGCAACACCGCGUGAGUGAAGAAGGGUUUCGGCUCGUAAAGCUCUGUUGUUGGAGAAGAACGUGCGUGAGAGUAACUGUUCACGCAGUGACGGUAUCCAACCCGACAGGCACGGCUAACUACGUGCCAGCAGCCGCGGUAAUACGUAGGUGGCAAGAGUUAUCCGGAUUAAUUGGGCGGAAAGCGACCGCAGGCGGUUGAUUAGGUCUGAUGUGAAAGCCUUCGGCUUAACCGAAGAAGUGCAUCGGAAACCGGGCGACGUGAGUGCAGAAGAGGACAGUGGAAAGCCAUGUGUAGCGGUGGAAUGCGUAGAUAUAUGGAAGAACACCAGUGGCGAAGGCGGCUGUCUGGUCUGCAACUGACGCUGAGGCUCGAAAGCAUGGGUAGCGAACAGGAUUAGAUACCCUGGUAGUC
This 465-nucleotide ribosomal RNA is filed under the name uncultured bacterium. RNAcentral's name for it is "partial 16S ribosomal RNA". It matches the Rfam family "Bacterial small subunit ribosomal RNA", at positions 338 to 795 of the family's 1533-position model. The record is from RNAcentral.